Molecule: ribosomal RNA, 472 nt
Filed under: uncultured bacterium
Lineage: Bacteria
Description: partial 16S ribosomal RNA
Rfam family: Bacterial small subunit ribosomal RNA
Source: RNAcentral
GACGAACGCUGGCGGCGUGCUUAACACAUGCCAGUCGAGCGGAAAGGCCCUUCGGGGUACUCGAGCGGCGAACGGGUGAGUAACACGUGAGUAAUCUGCCCUUGGCUUUGGGAUAACUACCGGAAACGGUGGCUAAUACCGGAUACGACAACCGUCUGCAUGGGCUGGUUGUGGAAAGUUUUUUCGGCCAGGGAUGUGCUCGCGGCCUAUCAGCUUGUUGGUGGGGUAAUGGCCUACCAAGGCUUCGACGGGUAGCCGGCCUGAGAGGGUGACCGGCCACACUGGGACUGAGACACGGCCCAGACUCCUACGGGAGGCAGCAGUGGGGAAUAUUGGACAAUGGGCGGAAGCCUGAUCCAGCAACGCCGCGUGAGGGAUGACGGCCGUCGGGUUGUAAACCUCUUUCAGUACCGACGAAGCGCCGAUGAUGGUGGUGACGGUAGGUACAGAAGAAGCACCGGCCAACUACGUG